UGGGGAAUAUUGCACAAUGGGGGAAACCCUGAUGCAGCGACGCCGCGUGAGCGAAGAAGUAUUUCGGUAUGUAAAGCUCUAUCAGCAGGGAAGAAGAAUGACGGUACCUGACUAAGAAGCACCGGCUAAAUACGUGCCAGCAGCCGCGGUAAUACGUAUGGUGCAAGCGUUAUCCGGAUUUACUGGGUGUAAAGGGAGCGCAGGCGGUGCGGCAAGUCUGAUGUGAAAGCCCGGGGCUCAACCCCGGUACUGCAUUGGAAACUGAGAGGCUGGAGUAUCGGAGAGGAAAGUGGAAUUCCUAGUGUAGCGGUGAAAUGCGUAGAGAUUAGGAAGAACACCGGUGGCGAAGGCGACUUACUGGACUGCUACUGACACUGAGGCGCGAAAGCGUGGGGAGCAAACAGGAUUAGAUACCCUGGUAGU
RNAcentral lists this ribosomal RNA (423 nucleotides) under uncultured Roseburia sp. RNAcentral's name for it is "bacterial SSU rRNA". It matches the Rfam family "Bacterial small subunit ribosomal RNA", at positions 355 to 794 of the family's 1533-position model. The record is from RNAcentral. Lineage: Bacteria; Bacillati; Bacillota; Clostridia; Lachnospirales; Lachnospiraceae.